AUUGAACGCUGGCGGCAGGCCUAACACAUGCAAGUCGAACGAGUGGCGGACGGGUGAGUAAUGUCUGGGAAACUGCAUGAUGGAGGGGGAUAACUACUGGAAACGGUAGCUAAUACCGCAUACCAUCGGAUGUGCCCAUAUGGGAUUAGAUAGUAGGUGGGGUAAAGGCUCACCUAGGCGACGAUCCCUAGCUGGUCUGAGAGGAUGACCAGCCAACGUGGAACUGAGACACAGCGCAGACUCCACCGGGAGGCAGCAGUGGGGAAUAUUGCACAAUUGGCGCAAGACUGAUGUAGCCAUGCCGCGUGUAUGAAGAAGGCCUUCGGGUUUGAAAGUACUUUCAGCAGUGAUGCGUUACUCGCAUAAGAAGCACCGGCGAACUCCGGGCCAGCCGCCGCGGUAAUUC
Molecule: ribosomal RNA, 406 nt
Filed under: uncultured bacterium
Lineage: Bacteria
Description: partial 16S ribosomal RNA
Rfam family: Bacterial small subunit ribosomal RNA
Source: RNAcentral